This 94-nucleotide transfer RNA is filed under the name Burkholderiales bacterium. RNAcentral describes it as "tRNA-Leu". It matches the Rfam family "tRNA". From Rfam's summary of the family: Transfer RNA (tRNA) molecules are approximately 80 nucleotides in length. Their secondary structure includes four short double-helical elements and three loops (D, anti-codon, and T loops). Lineage: Bacteria; Pseudomonadati; Pseudomonadota; Betaproteobacteria; Burkholderiales. The record is from RNAcentral.
GCCCGGGUGGUGAAACUGGUAGACACAGCGGACUUAAAAUCCGCCGCUUUCCUGAAUAAGGGGCGUACGGGUUCGAUCCCCGUUCCGGGCACCA